This 645-nucleotide ribosomal RNA is filed under the name Sanguinoderma rugosum. Its description in RNAcentral is "partial large subunit ribosomal RNA". It matches the Rfam family "Eukaryotic large subunit ribosomal RNA", at positions 38 to 667 of the family's 3401-position model. The record is from RNAcentral. Lineage: Eukaryota; Fungi; Basidiomycota; Agaricomycetes; Polyporales; Polyporaceae.
GCAUAUCAAUAAGCGGAGGAAAAGAAACUAACAAGGAUUCCCCUAGUAACUGCGAGUGAAGCGGGAAAAGCUCAAAUUUAAAAUCUGGCGGUCUUUGGUCGUCCGAGUUGUAGUCUGGAGAAGUGCUUUCCGCGCUGGACCGUGUAUAAGUCUCUUGGAACAGAGCGUCAUAGAGGGUGAGAAUCCCGUCUUUGACACGGACUACCAGUGCUUUGUGAUGCGCUCUCAAAGAGUCGAGUUGUUUGGGAAUGCAGCUCAAAAUGGGUGGUGAAUUCCAUCUAAAGCUAAAUAUUGGCGAGAGACCGAUAGCGAACAAGUACCGUGAGGGAAAGAUGAAAAGCACUUUGGAAAGAGAGUUAAACAGUACGUGAAAUUGCUGAAAGGGAAACGCUUGAAGUCAGUCGCGUUGUCUGGGACUCAGCCUCGCUUUUGCUUGGUGCACUUUCCGGAUGACGGGCCAGCAUCGAUUUUGACCGUCGGAAAAGGGCUAGGGUAAUGUGGCACCUCCGGGUGUGUUAUAGACUUUAGUCGCAUACGGCGGUCGGGAUCGAGGAACGCAGCGCGCCGUAAGGCAGGGGUUCGCCCACUUUCGCGCUUAGGGUGCUGGCGUAAUGGCUUUAAACGACCCGUCUUGAAACACGGACC